AAAGCAUGAUGAGGACAUUUCCUAUGCAGUUUCUUAAAUCUCUCCCAACUUUUAUAAAUGGAUUCUCCAUCAAAAUAGGCAAAAUAAGUUAUAAUAUUUCUAAAUCU
Dendrobium catenatum is the source of this 107-nucleotide small nucleolar RNA. The record is from RefSeq and is a predicted model, not a curated record. NCBI's taxonomy places the organism in Eukaryota, Viridiplantae, Streptophyta, Magnoliopsida, Asparagales, Orchidaceae.